Molecule: long non-coding RNA, 4671 nt
Filed under: Homo sapiens (human)
Lineage: Eukaryota; Metazoa; Chordata; Mammalia; Primates; Hominidae
Description: SLC7A11 antisense RNA 1 (SLC7A11-AS1)
Source: RNAcentral
UCUGUCUGGCAAGCGCCGCGCGCAUCCUCGGUUCCCGCCGCGCCGUUGCCGCCGCUCCUCUCCCUCCUCACCUCCCCGCAAGCUGAGGGAGCCGGCUCUGGCCUUGGCCAGCCCAGAAAGGGGCUCCCACAGUGCAGCGGUGAGCUGAAGGGUUCCUCAAGCGCGGCCAGAGUGGGCGCCAAGGCCGAGGAGGCGCCCAGAGCCAGCGAGGGCUGCCAGCAAGCUGUCACCUCUCAAUAGGAACUGGUACCAACCUACUUACGAAGAAGUAUUUGUUUUAACCUGAACCUGGGGGAAAAACAACAUGAACUGUUCGUCUAUCUAUAUCGUCAUUAUUUUUUACCUCAUGGAUUGAAACAAAUUUUAAAGGAAAAAAGAAUGUUAAGAAAGAGCAGCACUUACUAUCAGGGAGGCACCUCACGAGCAUUGUAAACACUCAGGCUCGCUGCUUUCUGAAGGACAUGCCAAUCAUGCACAGCACUUACUAGAAACUGCAAGACUGCACAACAUGAUGGUAUUUAUUCCAGGAACAGGAGCCAGUCCUGGGCACACACAUAAAGGGACUUCCUUCACUCCCCAGAAGAAGAGAAAGCAUGCUGACACACAUCUGCCCAAGCAAUCAGAAGGCAGCUAAAGCCGCCACAGUCUUCACUCACCAACAGUUAGACCUUUUCAAUUGAUUUUAUUGAAGAAAGUGAGUGCUGAGCACCAUGAGUUCUCAUAAACAAUCCAUUUUGGCAAAUGCUUUAAGAAUGUUGGUUAAUUGCAGUUAGGCAGCAUCGACGUAUUUUAUUUUUUGGAAAGCAAGAAGCUGGCUUACCAACAUUAAGUUAAACAACAUGUAAGGGUUAGAAAUAUGAAUCAACAAACUAUUAGGGUGGUACCAUCUCUUUAUAAUAAAACAAUGUAGAUUGAUUAAGUAUAGCCUAAAAGUUUACCACAAAUCAUAACUACAUUUAAGCUUUGAAUUUCAUGACUAGUGAUUAAUUUUGCAUGUCAACUUGACUGAGCUUAUAGAAUGCCCAGGUAUCUGAUUAAACGUUAUUUCUGGAGGUGUCUGUGAGGGUGUUUCUGUAAGAGAUUAGCAUCUGAAGGCCAGGUGUGGUGGCUCAUGCCUGUAAUCCUAGUACUUUGGGAGGCCGAGGUGGGCAGAUUGCCUGAGCUCAGGAGUCUGAGACCAGCCUGGGCAACAUGGCAAAACACCGUCUGUACUAAAAAAUACAAAGUUUAGCCGGAUGUGGUGGCACACACCUGUAGUCCCAGCUACUAGGGAGGCUAAGGCAUGAGAAUUUCCUGAGCCUGCGAGGCGGAGGUUGUGGUAAGCCAAGAUUGUACUCCAGCCUGGGUGAUAAAGUGAGACCCUAUCUCAUAAAAAACAAAAAAACAAAAAAGAAAAAAGGAGAAGAAAGAGACACAGAUUAGCAUUUGAAUGGGUGGACUGAGUAAAGCAGAUGGCCCUCGUCAGUGUUGGUGGGAAUUGUCCUAUCCAUUGAGGGCUUAAAUGAAACAAAGACUGAGGAAGGCUGAAUUCAAUCUCUGCUGACUGCUGGGGCUGAGACAUCAAUCUUCUCCGGCUCUCAGUGCUCUUCCAGACUCAGACUGGAAUGUACACUAUCAGCUCUCCAGUUCUCAGGCCUUCAAAUUACACCUCUGGCUUUCCUGGGUCUCCAGCUUGCAGAUGGCAGAUCGUGGGACUUCAUGGGACUUCUCAGACUCCAUAACCAAGGCUGAGGAGCUACAGUCUAAAUGCAUACGCAUGUUGGGAACCGAAGUCAGCCAUCUUCCCUAGGACAAAUCUUUACUCUUCUAAAGAAGGACAAGAAUAAGAAUUGAAAACACUUUUCACAGUAUAGACAUCUAUAGUGUGUAAAACCAUCUUUACAAAACCCAUAUAUACAGAAAAAUCUCAGUCUUCAAUUUGAAGGUUCUUUGCCGUGCUAACAUAUGUUGUAGAGAAUGACCACAUAGUAAUUGUCUAGUCUUUUCUCCUAACCCCAAUAGGAUUUGAAUGACUUUCAUCGUAAUGAAGGCUUCUGCAGAGUAAUUGAUUUUGACCAUGAGUACCUGUUGAAGUCACAGCAACUUCUCCUUCUAGAUUAUCUUACAGCAGUGGACCAGACAGCAGUGCUCAAGAGAGAAAUGCUAUCAAACAAAAAGUGGUUCAAUACUGGCAUCCUGUGGCUGGAGAGAUUUAUCAAAUCUCUGAAAAUCUCAGCUCCUUGGAUUCUGAACAUUCCCUGGCUGUCAGUUCUCAGCAGCCUUUCACCAUUUUCCGAGUGCUAUUUGGUUACCUCUCAUUUUUCAUGGAAACAACCUAGGUAAAAUGCAUUUUGAUAGACUAUCAUUUUCACAGGGCUGAUCUACUCAUGCAUUAUCAGGGUAAAAAUAAAUGAUAAUAUAAAGGUUUUGGAAUUUUACCUAAUGAAAGAACAUGAUAUUAAAUCAUUGAACAAACUGCUCCAAGCAAAGGCUCUUGGUCUCUAAGUUCACAUUGAGUUUCUCUCUAACAAAAUGAUCAUAGAGUAGUUGGGAGAAGGGACAGGGCGCUGCUUCAGGAUUUUGUUGUUUGUGCGUCUGUGUGUGAGUGUUUUGUUUUGGCCAAAGGCUAAGAAAAUACUUCCUAUUGCAGCAAUAAAUAUUAUGAAUUUUCUUUAUUUUACUACAAGAAUGCUGCCUCAGAGAAAAAUCAAACAAAAUUACGGAGGACUGUUGCUUUUUGCUACUCACUUUCAAGGCAGCUAUAAAGAUAAAGAGUUACAAUGAUCGCAGUUUAAAAGCAGAAUUGCCAUGCUCCCUGGUAAGACUUAAUGGCAUUUUUGAGAACCAAAUAACCAUUAUGGGACUACUCCAUUGCUGCUAGUUUCACAAAUGGCUAACACUAAAUUUGGAGGCCUUGGAAAUGUUCAAAACAUCAUUAGAGAUAGAAAAAUAGCAACAAACUUUAAAAUUACAUGAACACCAAAAGACAUCAAUGAAGGAUCAAGCAUGAAAACCGCUUGUUGAGAUGAACUGACAAAGAAAUAAUACAAAGUACACACGUGCUUGUUAGCAAGAGGAAAGAACUAUUAGAGUUGGCUGACUCCAAACAGGAGGAACAAAAUGCCUGCUAAAGUGGGAUCGAACAAUGGCUUUGCUCUUUCAUCAUGCUCCCUUUCUUCUAGUCUAACUCUAGGACCACCAGCUCUUUCUUCCUCAAUUCUCUUAAUUUUCUGUGCUGCUCAGGGGUUUUAACUGUCUUGGUUAGUAUGGGAGACAGACAGAUUUCACAGCGAUGAGUGCUAAUCUAUCCUAAAUGUUAGCAAUGAAUAAAGCAACCCUAAUGGUAAAUGGUAUUUAAUAAGAUCCCUUUUCCCUCAGAACAGGCUCUAUAUUUAGUGUCUAGAACACAGAAAACUUAAAAAUAUUCCACAGAAAGCUAGUGUGAUCUGAGAAGAAAUAGAGAUUAAAUACUCAGUUAAGGCAAUCAGUGUGCCUGUGUCAGCCAUAAAGCACCUCAUUUGUAUAGUAACAUUUCUUUGGGGAAACAAAAUCCAGAUAUAAAUAUUAGUAUAAGAUCUAAAGAUGCAAAAUUCCAAUUGAAUGCUAAUAAAAGGUAUUAAUAAAACUCUGCUUUAAAGGACUGACUUCUCAAUGAGUCUGCACAGCACACUAGAGAUUCAAUAUGCAUAUCAAGGUUUUUGGUUGUUUGUUUUUUUAGUAACACUGGCAUUAUUUAUUAAUAAUUUAACCAGAAAUCUCCCCAAACUUUUAACUGGAAUUUAAAAAAUUAAUUAUGGUAAAGUAAGUAAAUUAAAACAAAGAAAAAGUAUGAAAGCUAUGUUCUAAACUCACCACAUUCACCAGCGAGAAUAGAUCUGCCCUUCUGGCUAUAUUUGUUACCUACCUAUCUCUCUCUCUCUCUCUGUCUCUCUCUCUCCCUCUCUCUCUCUGUCUCUCUCUUUCCCUCUCUCUCUCUCUCUCUCCGCCCCCCCCACUUCCACAAGGGAUCCAGUCUAGAAAGAGCAUGAACUUAGAAGUCCAGCAGAUGUGGGUUCAAUUCCUAGUUCUAUGGUUUAAAAUACAUACACUCAAAAAUAAAUUCUCCAUUUUCCUGAGCUCUGGUGUUCUCAUCUGGACUUGGGAAUAAUAGCACCUCACACAUCAACCUUGUUGAGGAUUGCUUGAGAUGAUCAUGUAGGGGAGAGGACUCAGGAGAGCCUCUGACAGAGAGAUAUGCUUUCAACACAGGCUAUUCAUAAGCACCCUUCCUACCUAGUCAUCUACUAUGUUUUCUCCUCCCCCAGUUUAACUGGUCACCAAGUCUUGCUGAUUUUUCCUUUUAGUAUGUUUCACUUUCUCUCAGACCCUGCUGAUACUGCCUGUCUUCAGAAUCCCCCUCAAUUCUCAUCAGGAUUGCUGCAGUAACCACCAAAGUCAAUAUUCUGUCUUCAGCCCCAACCUAUCUUAAUCCAUCCUCAUAACCCCCAGGGUGAUUCUCCUAAAAUAUAAAACUGCCUGAGUUUGACUUUCAGCUAUUCUACUUUAUAUCUGUAUGACUUGGAACAAGUGACCUGAAUUCUCUCAUGCUAUAAUUCAAAGCCUAUUAACUGGGGAUAAUAAUUUUCCUACCUCAGUAGGAUAUUAUAUGAAUUAAAUAAAGUCUUGUUCCUCUCCCAAAAAAAAAAAAAAAAA